Molecule: ribosomal RNA, 450 nt
Filed under: uncultured Entrophospora
Lineage: Eukaryota; Fungi; Glomeromycota; Glomeromycetes; Entrophosporales; Entrophosporaceae
Description: SSU rRNA
Rfam family: Eukaryotic small subunit ribosomal RNA
Source: RNAcentral
AGCAGCCGCGGUAAUUCCAGCUCCAAUAGCGUAUAUUAAAGUUGUUGCAGUUAAAAAGCUCGUAGUUGAAUUUCGGGAUUGACACAUCGGUCGUGCCUUAAGGGGUAUGAACUGGUGUAGUCAGUUUCUCACCUUCUGGAGAACCGCGAUGUCCUUAAUUGGGUGCCGCGAGGAACCAGGACCUUUACUUUGAAAAAUUAGAGUGUUUAAAGCAGGCAUUUUGCUUGAAUACAUUAGCAUGGAAUAAUAAAAUAGGACGGAUGGUUCUAUUUUGUUGGUUUCUAGGAUCACCGUAAUGAUUAAUAGGGAUAGUUGGGGGCAUUAGUAUUCAAUUGUCAGAGGUGAAAUUCUUGGAUUUAUUGAAGACUAACUACUGCGAAAGCAUUUGCCAAGGAUGUUUUCAUUAAUCAAGAACGAAAGUUAGGGGAUCGAAGACGAUCAGAUACCGUC